Molecule: long non-coding RNA, 208 nt
Filed under: Elaeis guineensis (African oil palm)
Lineage: Eukaryota; Viridiplantae; Streptophyta; Magnoliopsida; Arecales; Arecaceae
Description: long non-coding RNA (EGUI_LNC002496)
Source: RNAcentral
CAAGAUCAGGUUAUACAGGUUUUCAAUCUUCUAGUGAGUGGAUCGGGUCAUGAUGCCAUUUAGGUGUCAUGAAUAUAUCAUUUAGCAAAUCAAAUCCAACAAUUCAAGCUACCUAAACAAUGCUUAAUUUGACCACCUUGGUUCAAUAUUCAACUCUACAAAAGGAAAUAUGGUGUACCCAAGGGGGGCAGCUAGAACUGCCAUAGGU